AUCUGGCCCUCGGGUCCGAGUUGUAAUUUGCAGAGGAUGCUUUUGGCGCGGUGCCUUCCGAGUUCCCUGGAACGGGACGCCUUAGAGGGUGAGAGCCCCGUACGGUUGGACACCAAGCCUCUGUAAAGCUCCUUCGACGAGUCGAGUAGUUUGGGAAUGCUGCUCUAAAUGGGAGGUAAAUUUCUUCUAAAGCUAAAUAUUGGCCAGAGACCGAUAGCGCACAAGUAGAGUGAUCGAAAGAUGAAAAGCACUUUGAAAAGAGGGUUAAACAGCACGUGAAAUUGUUGAAAGGGAAGCGUUUGCGACCAGACCUUCUCCUGGCGGAUCAUCCGGUGGUCCCCACCGGUGCACUUCGCCAGGUCGAGGCCAGCAUCGGUCUCUGCAGGGGGAUAAAAGCUCAGGGAACGUAGCUCCUCCGGGAGUGUUAUAGCCCUCCGCACAAUACCCUUGCGGGGACCGAGGACCGCGCCUUCGGGCAAGGAUGCUGGCGUAAUGGUUGUCAACGACCCGUCUUGAAACACGGACCAAGGAGUCGAACAUUUGUGCGAGUGUUUGGGUGUUAAACCCUCACGCGUAAUGAAAGUGAACGGAGGUGAGAGCCCUCGCGGGUGCAUCAUCGACCGAUCCUGAUGUCUUCGGAUGGAUUUGAGUAAGAGCAUAACUGUUCGGACCCGAAAGAUGGUGAACUAUGCGUGGAUAGGGUGAAGCCAGAGGAAACUCUGGUGGAGGCUCGCAGCGGUUCUGACGUGCAAAUCGAUCGUCAAAUCUGCGCAUGGGGGCGAAAGACUUAUCGA
This 794-nucleotide ribosomal RNA is filed under the name Nemania aenea. Its description in RNAcentral is "eukaryotic LSU rRNA". It matches the Rfam family "Eukaryotic large subunit ribosomal RNA", at positions 120 to 938 of the family's 3401-position model. Lineage: Eukaryota; Fungi; Ascomycota; Sordariomycetes; Xylariales; Xylariaceae. The record is from RNAcentral.